GUAUAGCCAGUGAUGGAACAUACCAGGCAGUUACAUGUAGUUCAUAAGAUUCUACUUCUGGUAGUUACUUUUACUUUUGCAUAUACCUUUUUGCUCAUAUAUAUUGGGAGUGAUAACUAAACACUAGUUUUUGUAUUUUUGAAACUGUAAAUGUUUGAAUAAUUUAAGUAAUUUGUAUAGAUUUAAAUAAUUUAUGAAUUGUGAUUCAUAAUUUCUUAGAAAUUAAGAUCUCUGGCUUGAUUUUUUUUCAUGUAAAUUCUAAUGGCUACUACUUAGUAAGUCUGGGUGAGACUAAGCUUUAGUGACAGGUCGACCAAGUUAUCAUUCCAAAAGAAUAAUCAAAAGCAAAUUCUUAGUAUUAAACACAAAAAAGUUAUCCCUUUCCUGUGGAUGGAAGGCAUAGAUUAACCCUAGCUACCUACUAUAACUGGAGUUCUCUUUAAGUUGCUGCCCUCCCACAGGCAGCAUUUGUUUAUUUGGUUCUUAUGUUUCAAAGCUGCUAGUUUCAAGCUCCAUUCUGAGCCACCAGUCUGUAGGGAGGUAAAUGUGAGAUAAAUAUUGGAAUAUGGUAUUAUGAAUUUAGACUGGUAUGAGGAUAAUUUUGUUUCAUCCAGCCUACCCUGGGGAUUUUGCAAUGUUUAGAGACAUCUUUGAUUGUCACAACUGUGUGUUGGGUAUCUAGUGAGUUGAUGC
This 693-nucleotide long non-coding RNA is filed under the name Marmota monax (woodchuck). The record is from RNAcentral. Lineage: Eukaryota; Metazoa; Chordata; Mammalia; Rodentia; Sciuridae.